CCUACGGGAGGCUGCAGUGGGGAAUUUUGGACAAUGGGCGAAAGCCUGAUCCAGCCAUUCCGCGUGAGUGAAGAAGGCCUUCGGGUUGUAAAGCUCUUUCGGCAGGAACGAAACGGUCUUUUCUAAUACAAGAGGCUAAUGACGGUACCUGAAGAAGAAGCACCGGCUAACUACGUGCCAGCAGCCGCGGUAAUACGUAGGGUGCGAGCGUUAAUCGGAAUUACUGGGCGUAAAGCGUGCGCAGGCGGGUGAAAUCCCCGGGCUUAACCUGGGAACUGCGUGUGUGACUGUAGGGCUAGAGUGCGGCAGAGGGGGGUAGAAUUCCACGUGUAGCAGUGAAAUGCGUAGAGAUGUGGAGGAAUACCGAUGGCGAAGGCAGCCCCCUGGGUCGACACUGACGCUCAUGCACGAAAGCGUGGGGAGCAAACAGGAUUAGAUACCCGUGUAGUC
This 450-nucleotide ribosomal RNA is filed under the name uncultured bacterium. RNAcentral describes it as "partial 16S ribosomal RNA". It matches the Rfam family "Bacterial small subunit ribosomal RNA", at positions 338 to 795 of the family's 1533-position model. The record is from RNAcentral.